UGUUGAUGAUGAAAAAUACAAAGGCUUGUUUCUCAAACAUUUGCAGUGGCUGCAUAAGAGCUUUUGCCUUUGCCAGGCUUGAGAGCUAAUGCUGCUCUAUCCUUCCUUGGAUGUCUGGAAGU
Quercus lobata is the source of this 122-nucleotide small nucleolar RNA. RefSeq annotates it as small nucleolar RNA SNORD14. The record is from RefSeq and is a predicted model, not a curated record. Lineage: Eukaryota; Viridiplantae; Streptophyta; Magnoliopsida; Fagales; Fagaceae. The transcript has a single exon.